Molecule: long non-coding RNA, 207 nt
Filed under: Salvia miltiorrhiza (redroot sage)
Lineage: Eukaryota; Viridiplantae; Streptophyta; Magnoliopsida; Lamiales; Lamiaceae
Description: long non-coding RNA (SMIL_LNC002332)
Source: RNAcentral
GCCCUCUCUCGCUGCCCCGACCAGAACAGCACAGCAGCGGCCGAGGCCACCGCGUCGCCGCCCCUGUCUCCUCCCUCGCCGCCCCUGCUUCUCUCCCCUCUUUUCUGUUUUUAACCCUCUUCCCACCUGUUCUAUUUCCUUUUCCAUGUAAUUAAUAUUAUUCAUUCCAUUUGAUUAUGCAUCUGCUUUGUAAUGAUUUUUCUAAAG